Molecule: ribosomal RNA, 253 nt
Filed under: uncultured bacterium
Lineage: Bacteria
Description: partial 16S ribosomal RNA
Rfam family: Bacterial small subunit ribosomal RNA
Source: RNAcentral
GACAGAGGGUGCAAACGUUGCUCGGAAUUACUGGGCGUAAAGCGCGUGUAGGCGGGCUGAUAAGUCGGAUGUGAAAUCCCUGAGCUCAACUCAGGAACUGCAUUCGAAACUGUCAGUCUUGAGUAGUGGAGAGGAAAGCAGAAUUCCUGGUGUAGAGGUGAAAUUCGUAGAUAUUGGCUGGAACACCGGUGGCGAAAGCGGCUCUCUGGCCCGGUUCUGACGCUGAGGCGCGAAAGCGUGGGGAGCAAACAGG